Molecule: non-coding RNA, 69 nt
Organism: Podarcis lilfordi (Lilford's wall lizard)
Lineage: Eukaryota; Metazoa; Chordata; Lepidosauria; Squamata; Lacertidae
Source: the annotation of a GenBank genome assembly
GGGUAGUUCAAUGGCAAGAGCAUCUGCUUUGCAUGCUGAAGGACCUAGGUUCAAUUCACAGCAUCUCCA